CUACGGGAGGCAGCAGUGGGGAAUCUUGUGCAAUGGGCGAAAGCCUGACACAGCAACGCCGCGUGCGGGAAGAAGGCCUUCGGGUCGUAAACCGCUUUCAGCAGGAACGAAAAUGACGGUACCUGCAGAAGAAGGUGCGGCCAACUACGUGCCAGCAGCCGCGGUGACACGUAGGCACCACGCGUUGUCCGGAUUUAUUGGGCGUAAAGAGCUCGUGAGGCGGUUCAGCAAGUCGGGUGUGAAAACUAUGGGCUUAACCCAUAGCCUGCAUCCGAAACUGCUGUGACUAGAGUUCGGUAGGGGAGAGGGGAAUUCCUAGUGUAGCGGUGAAAUGCGCAGAUAUUAGGAGGAACACCGAUGGCGAAGGCACCUCUCUGGGCCGAUACUGACGCUGAGGAGCGAAAGCGUGGGUAGCAAACAGGAUUAGAUACCCUAGUAGUC
Molecule: ribosomal RNA, 441 nt
Filed under: uncultured bacterium
Lineage: Bacteria
Description: partial 16S ribosomal RNA
Rfam family: Bacterial small subunit ribosomal RNA
Source: RNAcentral